This 433-nucleotide ribosomal RNA is filed under the name uncultured bacterium. Its description in RNAcentral is "partial 16S ribosomal RNA". It matches the Rfam family "Bacterial small subunit ribosomal RNA", at positions 29 to 507 of the family's 1533-position model. The record is from RNAcentral.
AACGAACGCUGGCGGCAUGCCUAACACAUGCAAGUCGAACGAGACCUUCGGGUCUAGUGGCGCACGGGUGCGUAACGCGUGGGAACCUGCCCUUAGGUUCGGAAUAACUCCCCGAAAGGGGUGCUAAUACCGGAUAAUGUCUUCGGACCAAAGAUUUAUCGCCUUUGGGUGGGCCCGCGUUGGAUUAGCUAGUUGGUAGGGUAAAAGCCUACCAAGGCGACGAUCCAUAGCUGGUCUGAGAGGAUGAUCAGCCACACUGGGACUGAGACACGGCCCAGACUCCUACGGGAGGCAGCAGUGGGGAAUAUUGGACAAUGGGCGAAAGCCUGAUCCAGCAAUGCCGCGUGAGUGAUGAAGGCCUUAGGGUUGUAAAGCUCUUUUACCCGGGAUGAUAAUGACAGUACCGGGAGAAUAAGCACCGGCUAACUCCGUG